This 392-nucleotide ribosomal RNA is filed under the name Metacyatholaimus sp. 90L31C15. RNAcentral describes it as "bacterial SSU rRNA". It matches the Rfam family "Eukaryotic small subunit ribosomal RNA", at positions 29 to 424 of the family's 1831-position model. The record is from RNAcentral. Lineage: Eukaryota; Metazoa; Nematoda; Chromadorea; Chromadorida; Cyatholaimidae.
UGCUUGUCUUCCUGAUUAAGCCAUGCAUGUCUAAGCAUAAGCCGAAAAAUGGUGAAGCCGCGAAUAGCUCAUUACAACAGCCAUAGUUUAUUGGAUCUUCAUUCCUACUUGGAUACCUGUGGUAAUUCUAGAGCUAAUACACGCAGAAAAGCCGUGUCCUCUGGACAGGGCGCAUUUAUUAGAACAAAACCAAUCGGGCUUGCCCGUCAUUUGGUGAAUCUGAAUAACUCAGCUGAUCGCAUGGUCUUGUACCAGCGACGUAUCUUUCAAGUGUCUGCCUUAUCAACUUUCGAUGGUAGUUUAUGUGCCUACCAUGGUUGUAACGGGUAACGGAGAAUAAGGGUUCGACUCCGGAGAGGGAGCCUGAGAAACGGCUACCACAUCCAAGGAAG